AGGACAUGUUGAGGAGAUAAUUUAGCCAUUUAAAUCAGCUGUGUUGGUUCAAGGACACAUGUAAAACCUGCAGGGACACCGGCCCUCGGUGCCCACCCCUGAUCUAAGCCAACCUCACCAUGCCAUCCAUUCAGCAUCAUGUACAACGGAGCUGGCGGAUUAGGUCCUCUGCCCUGGACUACGAGCCUGGGAAAAAGGAAGAAACCUCUGGCAGAACCAGGCUCAGGGAGGGCGGCCAUCUGCCUCGACCGGUUGGUGGAUAAGUGAGUGUUUUUUGUGCAUAUUACAUAUUUACUUACUGUGCAUGUUAUAUUAAAUAUUUAAAUGACAUAUAUACUUACCUGAAGCAGACAUGAUGUGG
Molecule: long non-coding RNA, 361 nt
Organism: Oreochromis aureus
Lineage: Eukaryota; Metazoa; Chordata; Actinopteri; Cichliformes; Cichlidae
Source: Ensembl